CUGCUGCCUUCCGUAGGAGUUUGGGCCGUGUCUCAGUCCCAAUGUGGCCGUUCACCCUCUCAGGCCGGCUACUGAUCGUUGCCUUGGUAGGCCAUUACCCCCACCAACUAGCUAAUCAGACGCGGAACCAUCGUAUACCACCAGAGUUUUUCACACCGCUUCAUGCGAAGCUGUGCGCUUAUGCGGUAUUAGCACCUAUUUCUAAGUCGUUAUCCCCCAGUAUACGGCAGGUUUUCCACGCGUUACUCACCCGUCCGCCAA
RNAcentral lists this ribosomal RNA (261 nucleotides) under uncultured bacterium. RNAcentral's name for it is "partial 16S ribosomal RNA". The record is from RNAcentral.